Balaenoptera musculus (blue whale) is the source of this 83-nucleotide microRNA precursor. Ensembl annotates it as microRNA 148a. Its record names the gene MIR148A. Lineage: Eukaryota; Metazoa; Chordata; Mammalia; Artiodactyla; Balaenopteridae. The record is from Ensembl.
GUUUGGUCUUUUGAGGCAAAGUUCUGAGACACUCCGACUCUGAAUAUGAUAGAAGUCAGUGCACUACAGAACUUUGUCUCUAG